CAAGAACAGAGUUAGCCCUUCCGAUUUGUGUGUGGAGGGCGGAACAAGCUGGCCGACGGAGGGAACAAAGGACGAUUGAGUUAACAAAUAUGAAAAUAGCCUCCUCUACUUAGCCCCGUCUGCAGCCACGAUGUCAAAGCGACCAUCCUACGCCCCUCCCCCUCCCCCUGCUCCCACCACACAAUUGCCUACCGCCCCAGGGUUUGUGGGAUACAACCCUUACAGCCAUCUGGCCUACAACAACCUCCGGCUGGGAGGGAGCUCCGGAGGCUCCAGCAGGGUAAUGAACUGACGGAUGGAUUUGGAGAAAAUAAUCAGAAAAGGGGUUGGGUGUAGGAUUGGAGGGAGGGUAGAUAGAAAGAGUCUUGGGCUAGAUAUAUGGGCACAUCCAUGGGGAAAGG
Long non-coding RNA from Notothenia coriiceps (black rockcod), 401 nucleotides. RefSeq lists it as uncharacterized. NCBI's taxonomy places the organism in Eukaryota, Metazoa, Chordata, Actinopteri, Perciformes, Nototheniidae. The transcript has 4 exons. The record is from RefSeq and is a predicted model, not a curated record.